ACAUUCCGGUAGGUAAGGCUACCGCAGGGAUACGGACUGCUGCCGCGAAGUGGUGGAGACACCAUAAGAGGGUUUGAACAGGCGAUAUCGAAACCAAGGUAUCAUCUAACGCAGUUUCAUUGCCCCGCGAUGCUAAAGCUUGU
Molecule: small RNA, 143 nt
Filed under: pig gut metagenome
Description: M-box riboswitch (ykoK leader)
Rfam family: M-box riboswitch aptamer (ykoK leader)
About the family: M-box riboswitch, also know as ykoK leader is described as a metaloregulatory RNA that sense divalent metals and function as a genetic control element of genes related to divalent metal transport in bacteria. It was first reported upstream of the B.subtilis ykoK gene and genes with related functions in other bacteria.
Source: RNAcentral